This is a non-coding RNA of Pelobates cultripes (western spadefoot toad), 119 nucleotides long. Lineage: Eukaryota; Metazoa; Chordata; Amphibia; Anura; Pelobatidae. The record is from the annotation of a GenBank genome assembly.
GCCUGUGGCCAUACCAGUCUUAAAAUGCCUGAUCUCAUCACAUCUGAGCAGUCAUUCAGACUCGGGCCUGGUUAGUACUUGUGUGGGAGACCAACUAGGAACCUCAGGUGCUGUAGUCU